Long non-coding RNA from Juglans regia (Persian walnut), 1491 nucleotides. RefSeq lists it as uncharacterized. The transcript has 2 exons. The record is from RefSeq and is a predicted model, not a curated record. NCBI's taxonomy places the organism in Eukaryota, Viridiplantae, Streptophyta, Magnoliopsida, Fagales, Juglandaceae.
CUUUUUACAGCACUGGUGUUGAAGCAAAUGAUGGAGGAAUGAUAAUUUGAUACAGGUGAGGUAGCAAGGCAGAAGAGCAUAAAAGGCAGUUGCACAAACAUCUUUUCCAUUCACUUGUGCUUCAACAAGAGACAUUCCACCCUUCUCUGAUGUUAAAAACUGUAGAUCCCAAUUAUAAGAUUGGCAAAGUUCUUGCAGUUCCCUGAAAGGACUAAUCUGCAAACUGGAGAACCUCAUGAUUGGAUCCAAAAAGGAAAGCAUUAUCGUCCACAUAAGCUCCAGAUUAAACCCUGAAUCAAGAAGAAUGGCACCCAGAGAAGACUCUACCAAGUCACCCAUAGCCUGAUGCAAUAAGUUACAUCAUUCUGAGUUAGUAAUAUGACAAUUACAUUCCCACACCCCCCUCCUUCUCUCCAAAAAGAAAACAAAACAAAACUCAAAAAAAAAAAUGAUGGCUAGGAGGUCAGUUCGUCAUUGUCACCAAGCCACAACAGAAAAAAUUCACAGAAGAUUGCAAUGUCUACCUUCGGACAUUUUGGCCCCUCAAGAAGACUCCCUUCAGGCGCUUGCAUUUUAACAGCAGCCACAUACAUCUCAAUUGCCUCAGUAAGGCUACUGGAAUCACAUAUAAGAAAUUUGUGGAAGGAUCGUUCUAGUGCAAGAUUGGCAAACGCCUCACUAUUCACAAACAAAGAUCUCAAAUCUGUCAAUUGACCAGGCUUCAACUUUGGAUAAGCUGAAUAAAGAUAUGAUGUAAUUAAGUAAUCCAAGACAGCAUCUCCAAGAAACUCCAAUCUCUGAUGAAAAAAGACAUUUCAAAUUAUCACAAGAUAAAAUGUUGCAUAGUUGUGCAACUGUCAUAAGAGAUAUUAAGCAGAGAGAAUAUUAUUGUCUAGUACCAGAAGUAGAAAGGACAUAGUGCAUACCUAAUAGCAGCCUCCUAUUAGAAAUGUUGCUAUUCGUGGGUUUAUGGGUGUUUGGAUGGUUGAAUAGGUUAUAUAUUGUUUGCUUGUUUGUGCUUGAUGGUCUAUACUCUCCUAUUAUUUGUUUAUGAUCUGCUAUUCGCAGUUUGUUCUCUGCUAUUCAUGGGUCUCUGUGUAAAAAUACUGUUCUCUAUUGUGUAGAACAAUGUUCUCAGUAAAGUGAAUGAUGUUGGUUGUCUGAAUGAUGGUCUAUACUCUCUUAUUCUUUUUAAGUAAUGAUGUUGAUUCAUUUCCUGUUUCUUUUAUUUUGAAACUCAUUAUCUGAUUUAAUAAUGGAAAAAUACUUUUCUGGCAUAUAAACUCUUAGACUAUGAAGUCAAUCUGCAAAUAAUGGAAAAUCAAACAAUUUGUUCUAUACAGGAAAAGGUUUUGCCAAACAAUUCGAAUCAUGAAACCAAACAGAUAAUUUAUAAAUAAUGAGGUGUAGGACCAACAUUUUCUUUUAAUGAGGUCUUUUAGUGCACUGUUCCCCUUUUAUUUCAUGGGGUAUAUUGUUUCUUAUGGAUUA